CCUACGGGUGGCAGCAGUGAGGAAUAUUGGUCAAUGGCCGAGAGGCUGAACCAGCCAAGUCGCGUGAGGGAAGACGGCCCUACGGGUUGUAAACCUCUUUUGUCGGGGAGCAAAGCGAACCACGUGUGGUUCAUUGAGAGUACCUGAGUAAGAAGCCCCGGCUAACUACGUGCCAGCAGCCGCGGUAAUACGUAGGGGGCAAGCGUUAUCCGGAUUUACUGGGUGUAAAGGGAGCGUAGACGGGGCGCCAAGUCUGGAGUGAAAUGCCGCAGCUUAACUGCGGAACUGCUUUGGAAACUGGCGAACUAGAGUGCGGGAGGGGUAAGCGGAAUUCCUAGUGUAGCGGUGAAAUGCGUAGAUAUUAGGAGGAACACCGGUGGCGAAGGCGGCUUACUGGACCGUAACUGACGUUGAGGCUCGAAAGCGUGGGGAGCAAACAGGAUUAGAUACCCCUGUAGUC
Molecule: ribosomal RNA, 460 nt
Filed under: uncultured bacterium
Lineage: Bacteria
Description: partial 16S ribosomal RNA
Rfam family: Bacterial small subunit ribosomal RNA
Source: RNAcentral